Molecule: ribosomal RNA, 253 nt
Filed under: uncultured bacterium
Lineage: Bacteria
Description: partial 16S ribosomal RNA
Rfam family: Bacterial small subunit ribosomal RNA
Source: RNAcentral
UACGUAGGUGGCAAGCGUUGUCCGGAUUUAUUGGGUUUAAAGGGUGCGUAGGCGGCUUUGUAAGUCAGUGGUGAAAUAUGGCAGCUUAACUGUCAAGGUGCCAUUGUUACUGCGGAGCUUGAGUACAGAUGAGGUAGGCGGAAUUGACGGUGUAGCGAUGAAAUGCUUAGAUAUCGUCAAGAACACCUAUAGCGAAGGCAGCUUACUAGGCUGUAACUGACGCUGAGGCACGAAAGUGUGGGGAUCAAGCAGG